AUGGAGAGUGCCUGCGCAAACCUCACUGGUGCUGUGCGCUUGGUGCAGCUGCUCAAGAUCGAAGGCUUUAGGGGGGAAGUGAGACUUCCGCUAUUCCUCCCUGAUUUCAUCAAAUCCACAUGGAGAUGGAGCGUCGGUGGCUAUGAGUGGGAAAUCCGAAUCUAUCCUGCAAAGAUGAUGUCCACCGAUCUGUGGCUAAUACUGGAGCUGAACCUUCUCAGUGAGCCCCGCGUAUGCAGGGCGAGCCUAGCAGGCCGGCUCGUAGAUCCGAGUGGGAAGCUUGAACCAUCGGAAGAAAAGAGUGCAUUCUACCGCCCCGAAGAGAGUAAAAAUUACUUGUGGCUCAUGCGUACAGGUGAUUUGCGAACGUCAGGUUAUCUCAGGGAUGGCACUUUGACUGUGCAGGGCGCCAUCACUGUGCUCAAGGAGUUACCGGAACCAGCCAUCCCCGGUAAAGAAGUGACCGAGCCAUCCCACACCUUGAACCAGCACCUCGGCGACCUCCUGCAGAGCGGGACGGGGGCGGACGUCACAUUUCUCGUGUCCGGCGAGUCUUUUGCCGUGCAUAAAAACAUAUUGGCCGCAAGAUCUCCGGUGUUCAUGGCUGAGUUCUUCGGGGACAUGAAGGAGAAGUGCUCACAAAGUCUGAAGAUAGACGACAUGGAGGCUGAGGUAUUCAAGGCACUGCUCUGUUUCAUCUACACCGACAUUGUGCCGGAAUUUGAAAAUCAGGAGGAUGUGACGUUGAUGGCGCAACAUCUAUUUGCUGCUGCUGACAGGUAUGGACUUGACAUGCUCAAGCUCAUAUGUUCUGAUAAGCUUUCUAAUGGCAUCAGCAUCAACACGGUGGCAACGACGUUGGCUUUAGCAGAGCAGCACCGCUCUUUGCAGCUCAAGGCGAAGUGUGUGGACUUUAUCAUUAGUACUCCAACAAUUCUUGAUGCCGUGUUGGCGACGGAUGGGUAUAAGCAUCUGGCGUCAAGCUGCCCUUCGGUGGUGACUGACCUUCUCAAGGCUGCGUGCAGUAGAAAGAUUUGA
RNAcentral lists this ribosomal RNA (1038 nucleotides) under Triticum aestivum (bread wheat). Its description in RNAcentral is "partial small subunit ribosomal RNA". Lineage: Eukaryota; Viridiplantae; Streptophyta; Magnoliopsida; Poales; Poaceae. The record is from RNAcentral.